RNAcentral lists this ribosomal RNA (894 nucleotides) under uncultured bacterium. Its description in RNAcentral is "bacterial SSU rRNA". It matches the Rfam family "Bacterial small subunit ribosomal RNA", at positions 8 to 916 of the family's 1533-position model. The record is from RNAcentral.
AGAGUUUGAUCCUGGCUCAGGACGAACGCUGGCGGCGUGCUUAACACAUGCAAGUCGAGCGGUAAGGCCCCUUCGGGGGUACACGAGCGGCGAACGGGUGAGUAACACGUGAGCAACCUACCCUCAACUUCGGGAUAAGCCUCGGAAACGGGGUCUAAUACCGGAUAUCACCUCGGGCUUCAUGGUUUGGGGUUGAAAGUUCUGGCGGUUGGGGAUGGGCUCGCGGCCUAUCAGCUUGUUGGUGGGGUAAUGGCCUACCAAGGCGUCGACGGGUAGCCGGCCUGAGAGGGCGACCGGCCACACUGGGACUGAGACACGGCCCAGACUCCUACGGGAGGCAGCAGUGGGGAAUAUUGCGCAAUGGACGAAAGUCUGACGCAGCAACGCCGCGUGAGGGAUGACGGCCUUCGGGUUGUAAACCUCUUUCAGCAGGGACGAAGCGAGAGUGACGGUACCUGCAGAAGAAGGACCGGCCAACUACGUGCCAGCAGCCGCGGUAAUACGUAGGGUCCGAGCGUUGUCCGGAGUUACUGGGCGUAAAGCGCGCGCAGGCGGCGGUGUUGGCUCGGCGUGAAAGCCCCUGGCUCAACCAGGGAGGGUCGUCGAGGACCGCACCGCUUGAGGGCGGUAGGGGCUGGUGGAAUGCCUGGUGUAGUGGUGAAAUGCGUAGAGAUCAGGCGGAACACCCGUGGCGAAGGCGGCCAGCUGGGCCGUCCCUGACGCUGAGGCGCGAAGGCGUGGGGAGCGAACGGGAUUAGAUACCCCGGUAGUCCACGCAGUAAACGAUGCCGACUAGGCGUGGGGGGAGUUGACCCCCUCCGUGCCGGAGCCAACGCGGGAAGUCGGCCGCCUGGGGAGUACGGCCGCAAGGCUAAAACUCAAAGGAAUUGACGG